RNAcentral lists this ribosomal RNA (483 nucleotides) under uncultured bacterium. Its description in RNAcentral is "partial 16S ribosomal RNA". It matches the Rfam family "Bacterial small subunit ribosomal RNA", at positions 28 to 507 of the family's 1533-position model. The record is from RNAcentral.
GACGAACGCUGGCGGCGUGCUUAACACAUGCAAGUCGAACGCUGAAGCUCAGCUUUUGUUAGGUGGAUGAGUGGCGAACGGGUGAGUAACACGUGAGUAACCUGCCCCCUUCUUUGGGAUAACGCCCGGAAACGGGUGCUAAUACUGGAUAUUCACUGGUCUUCGCAUGGGGGUUGGUGGAAAGGGUUUUUCUGGUGGGGGAUGGGCUCGCGGCCUAUCAGCUUGUUGGUGGGGUGAUGGCCUACCAAGGCUUUGACGGGUAGCCGGCCUGAGAGGGUGACCGGUCACAUUGGGACUGAGAUACGGCCCAGACUCCUACGGGAGGCAGCAGUGGGGAAUAUUGCACAAUGGGCGCAAGCCUGAUGCAGCGACGCCGCGUGAGGGAUGGAGGCCUUCGGGUUGUGAACCUCUUUCGCUCAUGGUCAAGCCGCAACAAUGGUUGUGGUGAGGGUAGUGGGUAAAGAAGCGCCGGCUAACUACGUG